UCUACCCCCCCCCCCCCCUUUCUUAUUUUUAUUAUUAUAAUUUUUUUUUAGCUGAAAAGACAUAAAGGAAGCAGUCAGCCCAGUGGUGUUUCUGAAGAGGUAUUCCUUCAGAAAUGGAGAAGACAGAAAGCUGCGGAGGCAGACAUUUGCAGCACCCAAGUGUUCGAGUGAGCAUGAUGACCACAAGUGUGUGUCGAACUUUUCAUGACCUGAUGACUGUGUUUCCCAAUCCUGAUCCUGAAGAGCCCCAGCACUGCACGGUUUUGGUGUCUCUCUUGUCUGACACACUUUUGAGGUCUUGGAGUCUUCACUGAUGAGCUGAUGAGUUGAAUCAGGAUUGUUUGCAGAUAAUGCUGUUCUUCUCCAUCAUGCACAAGGACUCACCUCUUUAACUCUUUAUCCCCCCCGACACAGAAAUGGUCCCUUGAUCAGUGUUUAGACUUUGCAGUG
Carassius carassius (crucian carp) is the source of this 450-nucleotide long non-coding RNA. RefSeq lists it as uncharacterized. The record is from RefSeq and is a predicted model, not a curated record. The transcript is spliced from 3 exons. Lineage: Eukaryota; Metazoa; Chordata; Actinopteri; Cypriniformes; Cyprinidae.